UAUUAGAAAGAAUACCAAUUGCGAAGGCAGCUUUCUGGAUCAUUACUGACACUGAGGAACGAAAGCAUGGGUAGCGAAGAGGAUUAGAUACCCUCGUAGUCCAUGCCGUAAACGAUGUGUGUUAGACGUUGGAAAUUUAUUUUCAGUGUCGCAGCGAAAGCGAUAAACACACCGCCUGGGGAGUACGACCGCAAGGUUAAAACUCAAAUGAAUUGACGGGGACCCGCACAAGUAGUGGAGCAUGUGGUUUAAUUCGAAGAUACGCGCAGAACCUUACCAACACUUGACAUGUUCGUCGCGACUUUGAGAGAUCAAAGUUUUCGGUUCGGCCGGACGAAACACAGGUGCUGCAUGGCUGUCGUCAGCUCGUGUCGUGAGAUGUUGGGUUAAGUCCCGCAACGAGCGCAACUCUCACUUUUAGUUGCCAUCAUUAAGUUGGGCACUCUGAAAGAACUGCCAGUGAUAAGCUGGAGGAAGGUGGGGAUGACGUCAAGUCCUCAUGGCCCUUACGUGUUGGGCUACACACGUGCUACAAUGGUAUCUACAACAGGAAGCAAGACUGCGAAGUCAAGCAAAUCCUUAAAAGAUACCUCAGUUCGGAUUGCACUCUGCAACUCGAGUGCAUGAAGCUGGAAUUACUAGUAAUCGUGGAUCAGCGUGCCACGGUGAAUGCGUUCCCGGGCCUUGUACACACCGCCCA
Molecule: ribosomal RNA, 700 nt
Filed under: uncultured bacterium
Lineage: Bacteria
Description: bacterial SSU rRNA
Rfam family: Bacterial small subunit ribosomal RNA
Source: RNAcentral